AGUCAUGAGCAGCUCACAUGCUUCUGAGGAAGCUCAGGAAAAGUGUAUGGCUAAUGCUUCUUCCAUAGACACUUGUCCCCUCUGUGAAAUGUUUCUGCAGCAUCCAGCUUGGGUGCUGUGUGGGCACAGUUACUGCACGGCCUGUGUUGCCUGGUUAUUAAGGAAUAUCCUUGAUCCAGAGUGUUUAAUUUGUGGAAAGAAGAUAGUCACAGAUGAUGCAAUUUUUAAUUUUGGCUCU
Tinamus guttatus (white-throated tinamou) is the source of this 238-nucleotide non-coding RNA. The record is from RefSeq and is a predicted model, not a curated record. Lineage: Eukaryota; Metazoa; Chordata; Aves; Tinamiformes; Tinamidae.